GUGCUUACUUUGGAAGCACAUAUACUAAAAUUAGAACAACACAGAGAAGAUUAGCAUGGCCCCUGAGCAAAGAUGAUAUUCAAAUUCAUGAAGUGUUCCAAAUACUU
Molecule: small nuclear RNA, 107 nt
Organism: Gracilinanus agilis (Agile Gracile Mouse Opossum)
Lineage: Eukaryota; Metazoa; Chordata; Mammalia; Didelphimorphia; Didelphidae
Source: RefSeq, a predicted model, not a curated record